UAGUGAAAGAGAUGUUGAUGGAGUUUCCUGAUGUUGGAGGUGACCUGAAGCAGCUUCUCCAAAUGAUCGACGCUGGCCAAGCUGUUGACAUAAAGGGUAUCUCUGAGAGGUCUUUAAUCAAGCAUCUGAAGAAGCUUUUUGUUUCCUUGAACCUCAAAGAAAAUGGAGAUAGAUUAUUUUUGCUGCCUUCAAAUACUUGUCCUACCUUGGAGCUUGUUGGACCCCUCAUCGAGGCCCAUAUAGAAUCUAAAAAGCAACGGCUUGAUGAUGUGCAUUCUGUAGCGCCUGCUGCAGAAAGUAAACAACUUUCAGAUGACAACAACUCGGUAAUGCCAUCUCCAGGAGAUGAUGCUUCUGGUCCAAGAAGAAGGAUGAUU
Molecule: unclassified non-coding RNA, 377 nt
Filed under: Hevea brasiliensis (rubber tree)
Lineage: Eukaryota; Viridiplantae; Streptophyta; Magnoliopsida; Malpighiales; Euphorbiaceae
Source: RNAcentral